This 215-nucleotide unclassified non-coding RNA is filed under the name Glomeraceae sp. RNAcentral's name for it is "partial contains 5.8S ribosomal RNA and internal transcribed spacer 2". The stretch from base 1 to 71 matches the Rfam family "5.8S ribosomal RNA", at positions 84 to 154 of the family's 154-position model. The record is from RNAcentral. Lineage: Eukaryota; Fungi; Glomeromycota; Glomeromycetes; Glomerales; Glomeraceae.
GUGAAUCAUCAAAUUUUUGAACGCAAAUUGCACUCUCUGGUAUUCCGGAGAGUAUGCCUGUUUGAGGGUCAGUUUACUUAAAAAUAGGUGUGUUUGCUGCCUUUCGUGGUGACGCACCGGAUUUGGGUCGUCUAGCCUUCGGUUAAGUGUCCUAUAAUCUUGCAUGAUUUUUUUCGGACGUAUGUAAAUGAUUUUACGUACGUUUGCGAUAUCGA